Molecule: ribosomal RNA, 1386 nt
Filed under: Micrococcus luteus
Lineage: Bacteria; Bacillati; Actinomycetota; Actinomycetes; Micrococcales; Micrococcaceae
Description: 16S ribosomal RNA
Rfam family: Bacterial small subunit ribosomal RNA
Source: RNAcentral
AGUCGAACGAUGAAGCCCAGCUUGCUGGGUGGAUUAGUGGCGAACGGGUGAGUAACACGUGAGUAACCUGCCCUUAACUCUGGGAUAAGCCUGGGAAACUGGGUCUAAUACCGGAUAGGAGCGUCCACCGCAUGGUGGGUGUUGGAAAGAUUUAUCGGUUUUGGAUGGACUCGCGGCCUAUCAGCUUGUUGGUGAGGUAAUGGCUCACCAAGGCGACGACGGGUAGCCGGCCUGAGAGGGUGACCGGCCACACUGGGACUGAGACACGGCCCAGACUCCUACGGGAGGCAGCAGUGGGGAAUAUUGCACAAUGGGCGAAAGCCUGAUGCAGCGACGCCGCGUGAGGGAUGACGGCCUUCGGGUUGUAAACCUCUUUCAGUAGGGAAGAAGCGAAAGUGACGGUACCUGCAGAAGAAGCACCGGCUAACUACGUGCCAGCAGCCGCGGUAAUACGUAGGGUGCGAGCGUUAUCCGGAAUUAUUGGGCGUAAAGAGCUCGUAGGCGGUUUGUCGCGUCUGUCGUGAAAGUCCGGGGCUUAACCCCGGGAUCUGCGGUGGGUACGGGCAGACUAGAGUGCAGUAGGGGAGACUGGAAUUCCUGGUGUAGCGGUGGAAUGCGCAGAUAUCAGGAGGAACACCGAUGGCGAAGGCAGGUCUCUGGGCUGUAACUGACGCUGAGGAGCGAAAGCAUGGGGAGCGAACAGGAUUAGAUACCCUGGUAGUCCAUGCCGUAAACGUUGGGCACUAGGUGUGGGGACCAUUCCACGGUUUCCGCGCCGCAGCUAACGCAUUAAGUGCCCCGCCUGGGGAGUACGGCCGCAAGGCUAAAACUCAAAGGAAUUGACGGGGGCCCGCACAAGCGGCGGAGCAUGCGGAUUAAUUCGAUGCAACGCGAAGAACCUUACCAAGGCUUGACAUGUUCUCGAUCGCCGUAGAGAUACGGUUUCCCCUUUGGGGYGGGUUCACAGGUGGUGCAUGGUUGUCGUCAGCUCGUGUCGUGAGAUGUUGGGUUAAGUCCCGCAACGAGCGCAACCCUCGUUCCAUGUUGCCAGCACGUCGUGGUGGGGACUCAUGGGAGACUGCCGGGGUCAACUCGGAGGAAGGUGAGGACGACGUCAAAUCAUCAUGCCCCUUAUGUCUUGGGCUUCACGCAUGCUACAAUGGCCGGUACAAUGGGUUGCGAUACUGUGAGGUGGAGCUAAUCCCAAAAAGCCGGUCUCAGUUCGGAUUGGGGUCUGCAACUCGACCCCAUGAAGUCGGAGUCGCUAGUAAUCGCAGAUCAGCAACGCUGCGGUGAAUACGUUCCCGGGCCUUGUACACACCGCCCGUCAAGUCACGAAAGUUGGUAACACCCGAAGCCGGUGGCCUAACCCUUGUGGGGGGAGCU